UGGGGAAUAUUGCACAAUGGGCGCAAGCCUGAUGCAGCGACGCCGCGUGGGGGAUGACGGCCUUCGGGUUGUAAACUCCUUUCGCCAGGGACGAAGCGUUUUGUGACGGUACCUGGAGAAGAAGCGCCGGCUAACUACGUGCCAGCAGCCGCGGUAAUACGUAGGGUGCAAGCGUUGUCCGGAAUUACUGGGCGUAAAGAGCUCGUAGGUGGUUUGUCACGUCGUCUGUGAAAUUCCACAGCUUAACUGUGGGCGUGCAGGCGAUACGGGCUGACUUGAGUACUGUAGGGGUAACUGGAAUUCCUGGUGUAGCGGUGAAAUGCGCAGAUAUCAGGAGGAACACCGAUGGCGAAGGCAGGUUACUGGGCAGUUACUGACGCUGAGGAGCGAAAGCAUGGGUAGCAAACAGGAUUAGAUACCCUGGUAGUCCAUGCCGUAAACGGUGGGCGCUAGGUGUAGGGGCCUUUUGGGGUUCCUGUGCCGUAGCUAACGCAUUAAGCGCCCCGCCUGGGGAGUACGGUCGCAAGGCU
This 530-nucleotide ribosomal RNA is filed under the name uncultured bacterium. RNAcentral describes it as "bacterial SSU rRNA". It matches the Rfam family "Bacterial small subunit ribosomal RNA", at positions 355 to 895 of the family's 1533-position model. The record is from RNAcentral.